Molecule: ribosomal RNA, 253 nt
Filed under: uncultured bacterium
Lineage: Bacteria
Description: partial 16S ribosomal RNA
Rfam family: Bacterial small subunit ribosomal RNA
Source: RNAcentral
UACGGAGGGUGCAAGCGUUAAUCGGAAUUACUGGGCGUAAAGCGUGCGCAGGCGGCUCUAUAAGACAGAUGGGAAAUCCCCGGGCUCAACCUGGGAACUGCAUUUGUGACUGUAGAGCUGGAGUGCGGCAGAGGGGGAUGGAAUUCCGCGUGUAGCAGUGAAAUGCGUAGAUAUGCGGAGGAACACCGAUGGCGAAGGCAAUCCCCUGGGCCUGCACUGACGCUCAUGCACGAAAGCGUGGGGAGCAAACAGG